CCUACGGGGGGCUGCAGUGAGGAAUAUUGGUCAAUGGACGGAAGUCUGAACCAGCCAUGCCGCGUGCAGGAAGACGGCUCUAUGAGUUGUAAACCGCUUUUGUACGAGAAUAAUAGUUCUUACGUGUAGGGAUAUGAAUGUAUCGUACGAAUAAGGAUCGGCUAACUCCGUGCCCGCAGGCGCGGGAAUACGGAGGAUUCGAGCGUUUUCCGGAUUUAUUGGGUUUAAAGGGUGCGUAGGCUGUCGGUUAAGUUAGAGGUCAAAUGUCGGGGCUUAACCCCGUGCCUGCCUCUGAUACUGUUGGACUAGAGAGCGGAUGCAGCAGGCGGAAUGAGUGGUGUAGCGGUGAAAUGCUUAGAUAUUACGCAGAACACCGAUUGCGCAGGCAGCUUGCUAGUCCGCGUCUGACGCUGAGGCACGAAAGCGUGGGUAGCGAACAGGAUUAGAUACCCUAGUAGUC
This 460-nucleotide ribosomal RNA is filed under the name uncultured bacterium. RNAcentral's name for it is "partial 16S ribosomal RNA". It matches the Rfam family "Bacterial small subunit ribosomal RNA", at positions 338 to 795 of the family's 1533-position model. The record is from RNAcentral.